Molecule: non-coding RNA, 1171 nt
Organism: Anas platyrhynchos (mallard)
Lineage: Eukaryota; Metazoa; Chordata; Aves; Anseriformes; Anatidae
Source: RefSeq, a predicted model, not a curated record
CCCCAUCAGGUCCUGGCUGCAGGGAGGGAGCUGUUAGGGGUCCCAGCUGUGGGUUUUACCGUGCAAAUUUUAAACAUCCAAGUUAAAUUGAAUAAGCUCUAAGAAAUAAUAAUUAGGAGAGUCUGAGAUAUUCCAAUUUAGUAAUGAAAUGAUGUUCUUUGUAGGUAGGUGCAGAGACACCUAAGGAUGUCACCUUCAGUACGAAGCAGAAGGUAGAUGUCUCUAGCAGCCUAAAUUUGUACACUGUAAGGCCUUCCUCAUCACUCAUAAUACCAUCCAACAUUUAAAUAAAGUACCCCUCCUUUCUAAUGACCCAGGAAUGUGGUAUAACUGCUGGCCCAAUCCUGCGGGCAGGUGGGUUGAUCGCAAUUUAACAAGAAAUCUGCCAGAUUCGAGCCGGCAGAGGCUGCUGCCUUCUCCCUAGGCUGGAGUUGCACAUGGCUGGAGCACGGCAGCUUGGUGCCAGUGGAAGCUGCCUCAGGAAAAGGCUGACAGAAGGAAAAGCCUCGUGUGAAAGGAGCGGGCAGGGCCCACUGGCUCCUGGGAUGCAGGCAGAGCCCCGUGCUUUGCUGGCUCUCAGCUCCUCGGGCAAAUUAGCAGUGUGUUAAAUUAGCAGUGAGGAACCUGCCUCAGGUGGGGAUCCCAUCAGUUACCUGGUGGAGGAGAUGUCUGCACAGAGGCAGCACGCAGGAGAUGACACGGGAGCGCGCACCUGCUGUGCCAUGCAAAACUCAGGGCCCCCAGGCUGCCUCGGGAGAGCAGAGCGCAUGGGAUUGCAGAGUGUGGUCAGACUGUCAUCAGGAGCUUAUAGGGGAUUCUGCCACUUCCAUUACGUUGAGGCUGAGCAGCUACCCUGCGUGUGAAAGUCUGCCAGGGUUGGGCUGAAAUCCUGCCUCUGUUAAACUCGAAGGAUUUUUGACAUUGGUUUCAAUGAGGCCACAGUUUUUACUUCUGGCCCUUUUGGUUAUUGGAGCAAAACAUAGUAGGAGCCCCUAACUACUACUGAGUGGAAAGAAAAAAAUCAUAUAUUGGUUUUGGCUCCAAAGUUCCAACAUUCACUUGUGAAUUUAAAUUAGAAAAUCUAUUUGCCAUAUGUUCAAUUCCAAGAGAACUACAUCUCUGGAGAACCUGCUUCUUGGGUUGCUUUGGAUGGAGGAGGACUGCUUACAAA